Molecule: non-coding RNA, 1024 nt
Organism: Rattus norvegicus (Norway rat)
Lineage: Eukaryota; Metazoa; Chordata; Mammalia; Rodentia; Muridae
Source: RefSeq, a predicted model, not a curated record
AUACAAAUUAUAAAGGACAGUUACAAAGAGGUUCCGUCACUCUUCUCCCUAACUCAAUUUCUGCAAAAUAAACUCCACAUAUGUUGUUCUGGGAACUGUUAAGAACGCGUCGACGGGCUGGCUGCACAGGGAGCCUCAUGGUUGACUAACUCGGCUGCCAGCCAGGCCCAGAUGCAGCGUUUCGAGUAGGUCCACCCCAACGUUUGCUCCAUCCGUGAGUUGCUGAAGCGGGCAGAGGAGCUGAUGUAGCAGAACCAGAUCCAGGAACGAGUCAUCACCAACAAAGAUGAAAUCCUGAAUCAUGUCUCUGACUGAAGCCAGCACCCACCAUAGGGAAGCAGCUCAGAGGAGCCGAAGAGAGAGACACGGAGGCUCCGAGAGUGACAGGGAGACCGCAGAGCCAGCAGAAUCCUCAGAAAAACUAGAGAAGGGCAGGCCCAUGGGAGGAUGCUUUUAAAAGUGGACUCAUGAAACUGAAAGGAAAUAAGGGUGGAGCGGAAGGAGGUGGUGGUGUCGGUGGGUCAGGGGCAGGGGAGAAGGCGGAAACGACAGACGGCUAUGCAGUGGUCCAUGCUGUAGCCAGAAACCACGUGCAAGUUCAGGAUCCGCGCUCCCUCUGACUGUAAAAGGAGGCAUGGACGCUUCUUUUACAGUGGGGUGGAUAGCUGCAGACUCACAGUUGAGAAAGGAAGACAUAGAAGGCUUGUGUGACAACCUUUAUCCCCUACCUCACUCCCUCCUCCCCUACCCCCAAAGUAAGGAAGCAAGCAAUCAAGUAAGCCAGCCUAGACUGGAAGCCAUUGAAGACAAAAAUUGAGCUAAGGAUGCUGAAGUGUAGCUCUCCACACGUGAUGGCUUCUGGCAGGGGUGUGGGUGCGGAAGGACUCAGUUUUCUUUGAGAAGCUGGUCACGGAGUUCGACCACGCUCCACUCCUGCUUCCUGACCUGCUUGAGUUCCAGUCCUGACUUCCUUUGGUGAUGAACAGCAAAGUGGAAGUGUGAGCUGAAUAAACCCUUUCCUCCC